This 386-nucleotide ribosomal RNA is filed under the name uncultured bacterium. Its description in RNAcentral is "bacterial SSU rRNA". It matches the Rfam family "Bacterial small subunit ribosomal RNA", at positions 30 to 416 of the family's 1533-position model. The record is from RNAcentral.
AUUGAACGCUGGCGGCAUGCCUUACACAUGCAAGUCGAACGGCAGCACGGGAGCAAUCCUGGUGGCGAGUGGCGAACGGGUGAGUAAUAUAUCGGAACGUGCCCAGUCGUGGGGAUAACGUAGCGAAAGCUACGCUAAUACCGCAUACGAUCUAUGGAUGAAAGCGGGGGAUCGCAAGACCUCGCGCGAUUGGAGCGGCCGAUAUCAGAUUAGGUAGUUGGUGAGGUAAAGGCUCACCAAGCCGACGAUCUGUAGCUGGUCUGAGAGGACGACCAGCCACACUGGGACUGAGACACGGCCCAGACUCCUACGGGAGGCAGCAGUGGGGAAUUUUGGACGAAUGGGCGCAAGCCUGAUCCAGCAAUGCCGCGUGCAGGAUGAAGGCC